GCUACUUUAGCUUAGUGGUAGAGCGUCUGCUUUGGAAGCAGAAAAUCGUUAGUUCAAUCCUGACAAGUGACU
Molecule: transfer RNA, 72 nt
Filed under: Perkinsus olseni
Lineage: Eukaryota; Perkinsozoa; Perkinsida; Perkinsidae
Description: tRNA-Pro
Rfam family: tRNA
About the family: Transfer RNA (tRNA) molecules are approximately 80 nucleotides in length. Their secondary structure includes four short double-helical elements and three loops (D, anti-codon, and T loops). Further hydrogen bonds mediate the characteristic L-shaped molecular structure. tRNAs have two regions of fundamental functional importance: the anti-codon, which is responsible for specific mRNA codon recognition, and the 3' end, to which the tRNAs corresponding amino acid is attached (by aminoacyl-tRNA synthetases). tRNAs cope with the degeneracy of the genetic code in two manners: having more than one tRNA (with a specific anti-codon) for a particular amino acid; and 'wobble' base-pairing, i.e. permitting non-standard base-pairing at the 3rd anti-codon position.
Source: RNAcentral